Molecule: transfer RNA, 86 nt
Filed under: Candidatus Omnitrophota bacterium
Lineage: Bacteria; Pseudomonadati; Candidatus Omnitrophota
Description: Candidatus Omnitrophica bacterium tRNA-Tyr
Rfam family: tRNA
About the family: Transfer RNA (tRNA) molecules are approximately 80 nucleotides in length. Their secondary structure includes four short double-helical elements and three loops (D, anti-codon, and T loops). Further hydrogen bonds mediate the characteristic L-shaped molecular structure. tRNAs have two regions of fundamental functional importance: the anti-codon, which is responsible for specific mRNA codon recognition, and the 3' end, to which the tRNAs corresponding amino acid is attached (by aminoacyl-tRNA synthetases). tRNAs cope with the degeneracy of the genetic code in two manners: having more than one tRNA (with a specific anti-codon) for a particular amino acid; and 'wobble' base-pairing, i.e. permitting non-standard base-pairing at the 3rd anti-codon position.
Source: RNAcentral
GGGCGGAUACCCGAGUGGCCAAAGGGGUCAGACUGUAAAUCUGAUGGCUCACGCCUACGAAGGUUCGAAUCCUUCUUCGCCCACCA